Molecule: ribosomal RNA, 468 nt
Filed under: uncultured bacterium
Lineage: Bacteria
Description: partial 16S ribosomal RNA
Rfam family: Bacterial small subunit ribosomal RNA
Source: RNAcentral
GACGAACGCUGGCGGCGUGCUUAACACAUGCAAGUCGAACGGAAAGGCCCUGCUUUUGUGGGGUGCUCGAGUGGCGAACGGGUGAGUAACACGUGAGUAACCUGCCCUUGACUUUGGGAUAACUUCAGGAAACUGGGGCUAAUACCGGAUAGGAGCUCCUGCUGCAUGGUGGGGGUUGGAAAGUUUCGGCGGUUGGGGAUGGACUCGCGGCUUAUCAGCUUGUUGGUGGGGUAGUGGCUUACAAAGGCUUUGACGGGUAGCCGGCCUGUGAGGGUGACCGGCCACAUUGGGACUGAGAUACGGCCCAGACUCCUACGGGAGGCAGCAGUGGGAAAUAUUGCACAAUGGGCGGAAGCCUGAUGCAGCAGCGCCGCGUGCGGGAUAACGGCCUUCGGGUUGUAAACCGCUUUCGCCUGUGACGAAGCGUGAGUGACGGUAAUGGGUAAAGAAGCACCGGCUAACUACGUG